CCCUAAAAAGUCCCGACAACA
This 21-nucleotide transfer RNA is filed under the name Scarus psittacus (common parrotfish). Its description in RNAcentral is "partial tRNA-Phe". The record is from RNAcentral. RNAcentral also lists the same sequence under 1 other name. Lineage: Eukaryota; Metazoa; Chordata; Actinopteri; Labriformes; Labridae.